Molecule: microRNA precursor, 83 nt
Filed under: Papio anubis (olive baboon)
Lineage: Eukaryota; Metazoa; Chordata; Mammalia; Primates; Cercopithecidae
Description: mir-95 microRNA precursor family
Rfam family: mir-95 microRNA precursor family
Source: Rfam by way of RNAcentral
CAUUAGUAGGCCUCAGUAAAUGUUUAUUAGAUGAAUAAGUGAAUGACUCAUCAGCAAACAUUUAUUGUGUGCCUGCUAAAGUG